Molecule: long non-coding RNA, 5368 nt
Organism: Zophobas morio
Lineage: Eukaryota; Metazoa; Arthropoda; Insecta; Coleoptera; Tenebrionidae
Exons: 2
Source: RefSeq, a predicted model, not a curated record
UUGAAAAAAAUGAAAAUUUGAAUAAUUUGAAAUUGAAAAACCAAAAAAAUAUCAAAUCGGAAUGUUGAAAAAUCGAAAAAUUUGGUAAUAAAGAAAAUAAAAAAAUUAAAAAUUGAGACCUCGAGUAACUCAAAUCAUUUCAUACUUAUAUUUUGUCCUGUAAUUAGGGAAACCUGUUGAGCAAUAAACUUCUUCUUCUUCUUAUUAUUAUUAUUAUGGAAAUUUGAAAAAUUUUACAAUGUAAAAUUGAAGAAUUGAAAAACUUUAAUCAAUAGAAUUUAUCCGAGAACAAAAACCGCAAAAAAUGUUACAAACUUUCAAAGAAGUGAAGUUUGUGGACUGUACUUUGAGGCGCGGGAAGUUCUCUCGAAGCAACCUUCGACCAACUUUUGACACCUAUCUCUGGUCCCAAACCCUUCCCAUGGUACAAAAUCGCCCUGCAACAAAUCUACUUGCAAAUUCAUCAUCCUAUCGAUCGCCCGUUAUUACUGUUAUCUAUUUGAUAAGGCUGUCAUUAAUAACCGAAGGAUUUUCCUGCCACGUGACAUUUCGGGAUUUAUGUCGUGUUUCGGUUGUAAAACUGUUGAUGUUGAGGACUGCUACUUUUCGCAACGUUCGCCAACUUUAUUUAUCGAUCCUUUCCGGCUCUAUCUUUUGUCUCGUUCUUUUAACUUUAUAAAAAUAGGAACAUGAUUUCGUGGCUUUCGCUGCAUUAUUAAUAUUCCAUGGAAAUAUGUAAUUCUGAUAUAGCUUUGACUCGCGUAUCGCUGAUAAAACGCUGAUAAAUCUGCACGGCCGGCCGUAAUAACAAGUGUCGAGGUAUUUCCGGGUACAAAUAUGGAGCAAAAUUAAUUGAAAGAAGGUGUGCUUUGAUAUUACGUGAACAAGGCUCCGGGGAGCUAAGACGCUUAUUUUCUCUGAUGAAAGCAGUGCACUAAUUGCUAAUUAGACGAAGUCCCGUGUAAAAAUGUAACAAAGACAGGAUUAGUCCAACGGCGAAUUGUAACCGUUACUCCGUCAAAUACUACACCUGUUCGAUCGGGCGAAACUCCUGGCAACGGCCGCAGAACUAAAAUAAAUUAUCGGCUUCUAUCUCAUGAAAUUUCCAGGACGAUGAUCUGAAGAAUAAUUUAUCGUACAAUCGAUAGCUGAGAAACGUUCGUCCCUAAAUAGCGAUUCGACAGUUAGUCUUGAAGGUUGGGUUUCGUCAUAAAUGGUAGCAGCUUUGAACUUAAUUGUAUCUAAAUUAAUUGGUAAAUGGAAUUAGGUGUUUCGUGUUUGGUUCUUAAAUGAAGCUCGAAUUGUUGUUACUUUGUGUUGCUGACAUGGAGCUCUGACUUUGUGCAUGAGGUAUCAAUAUUGCGUUGUAAAUCACUUUGAUUACGAUCUCGUAAUGAAGUCCGCUGGUUGUGACACCCAGGGCUGUGACGUUCCACUAAUUGGAACUGUGCUUUUAUAAAGCUGUAACUAGAUUUUCCAGACUUGCGGAAAAAACUGCAAUUUGUAGUCGGCGUGGGGUUUAAAGGAAACACAUGUCGGUGUUAACAAGAUUUUAGUUUAGACGUGGUUUAGGGGGAUCGAUCACGAGGGUUUGAAUUUCUGAAAGUGUCUUGUCCGAGAUUUCGGGGUUAUUUUCUUUGACGCCUGGUUUGAAUAUUUUUACGUUGCCUAGUCGUAUACAUUUUACGAAGAGUUUCCGCCUGUUUGUCUGUCCGUCUGUCUGCCGUACCCAGAUUUUUAUUAGACAGAUAAUCUCAGAAAGUACCGGGCCAAAUGUUGUUAAAGUUUGUAUUUAUAUUAAGACUAUUAUGUAUAUCGUAAAACGAUAACCGAAAUUUGUCUAAUUCAGUUUUACCCACCCCUUUUUCGUUCCAGUGACUAUUCUUAAUAUUGCUUAGUUCUCUCUUAGCAAGUUCUAGCCCCGCCCACCCACCCUUUUUUUUAUUAUAUUAUAUGUUCUUUUGUAAAGUGAGAAUGGGAACUAAUAGAACAUACGCUAUUUAAAAGAAAGCGUUAAUCGCAUUUUUUUGUUAUACUACUUAUUUGCUAAAGUAUUUAUUUCUGAAGAAAAAACUGACAGAACGGGUGGGUGGAAGGGGCUAAGUUUAACUUUUUCGCGCUGAGUCAUUUAUAAGCAAGCAAUAACCCCGCCCACCCUCCCGCUCUUCAUUUCAACAGUUGGGGUCCAUGAGAAGGUUUCACAUACUUAAAAAGUUAGUACCUCUGAAAAAGUUUCAGUUUCUUCAUAAAAAAAGACAGCUGGGGACCAUGAGUAGGUUUAACUUUCUUAAAAAAAAAACAGCUGGGGACCAUCAGUAGGUUUUAUUUUCUUCUAAAAAAGACUGAUAGUGCCCCUGAGAAGGUUUUACAAUCUUAAAACAGUCAGUUGGGUCCCCCGAGAAGGUUUUACCUUCCUUAAAUAUAGGCAGUUGAAAUCACUGCGAAGGUUUCACAUGUUUAAAUACUCGCUUCGCUUAUGCUCGGGAUGUAAAAAAGACAGUUGGAGCCCUUGAGAAGGGUUCACUUUCUUAAGAAAAACACAGUCGGAGCCUCUGAGAAGGUUUACUUUCUUCAAAAAACGACGAUUGGGACCCUUGACAAGGUUUCACAUACAUGAAAAAACAGUUGGAGCCCUUGAGAAGGAUUUACCUUCUUCAAAACACAAACCCACUUGGGGUCCCUGAGAAGGUUUCACUUGCUUAAAAAAAGAUAGUUGGUGCCUCUGAGGAGGUUUCAUUUUCGUCGAAAAAAGACAACUGGGGCCCUUGAGAAGGUUUUACCCUCUUGAAAUUUAGGCAUUUGAGAACCCUGAGAAGGUUUCAAUUUUUUUAAAUAAGACGAUUGGGACCCUUGACAAGGUUUUACCCUCUUCAAAAAUUGACAUUUGAGAUCCCUGAGAAGGUUUUACAUAUAUGGAAAAAACAGUUGGAGCCCUUGAGAAGGUUUUACUUUCUUCAAAAGAAAAACACACUUGGGGCCGUUGAGAAGGUUUCACUUGCUUAAAAAAAGACAGUUGGUGCCCCUGAGAAGGUUUCACUUUCGUCGGAAAAAAACGAUUGGGGCCCUUGACAAGGUUUUAUCCUCUUCAAAAAUAGGCAUUUGAGAUCUCUGAGAAGGUUUCACAUACAAGGAAAAAACAGUUGGAGCCCUUGAGAAGGAUUUACCUUCUUCAAAACAAAAACCCACUUGGGGUCCCUGAGGAGGUUUCACUUGCUUAAAAAAAGAUAGUUGGUGCCUCUGAGGAGGUUUCACUUUCGUCGAAAAAAGACGACUGGGGCCCUUGAGAAGGUUUUACCCUCUUCAAAUUUAGGCAUUUGAGAACCCUGAGAAGGUUUCAAUUUUUUCAAAUAAGACGAUUGGCACCCUUGACAAGGUUUUACCCUCUUCAAAAAUUGACAUUUGAGAUCCCUGAGAAGGUUUUACAUAUAUGGAAAAAACAGUUGGAGCCCUUGAGAAAGUUUUACUUUCUUCAAAACAAAAACACACUUGGGGCCCCAGAGAAGAUUUCACUUGCUUAAAAAAAGACAGUUGGUGCCCCUGAGAAGGUUUCACUUUCGUCGGAGAAAAACGAUUGGGACCCUUGAGAAGGUUUUACCCUCUUCAAAAAUAGACAUUUGAGAUCUCUGAGAAGGUUUCACAUACAAGGAAAAAACAGUUGGAGCCCUUGAGAAGAGUUUAUUUUCUUCAAAACAAAAACACACUUGGGGCCCCCGAGAAGCUUUCACUUGCUUAAAAAAAAAAACAGUUGAGGCAAGAGGAGGUCCCACUUUCUUCAAAAAAAGACAGCUGGGGACAAUGAGUAGGUUUUACUUUCUUCUAAAAAAGACUGCUAGUGCCUCUGAGAAGAUUUUACAAUCUUAAAACAGUCAGUUGGAUCCCCCGAGAAGGUUUUACCUUCUUUAUAAAUAGGCAAUUGAAACCACUGAGAAGGUUUCACAUGCUCAAAUACUCGCUUCGCUUACGCUCAGGAAGUAAAAAAACAGUUGGAGCCCUUGAGAAGGGUUCACUUUCUUAUGAAAAACACAGUCGAAGCCCCUGAGAAUGUCUCACUUUCUUCAAAAAAGACGAAUGGGGCCCUUGAGAAGGUUUUAUCCUCUUCAAAAAUAUGCAUUUGAGAUCCCUGAGAAGGUUUCACAUCCAUGAAAAAAACAGUCGGAGCAUUUGAGAAGGGUUCACAUUUUUCAAAACAAAAAUACACUUGGGGCCAAAGAGAAGAUUUCAUUUGCUUAAAAAAAAGACAGUUGGUGCCCCAGAGAAUGUUUCACUUUCGUCGAAAAAAGAUGACUAGGGCCCGUCAGAAGGUUUUACCUUCUUCAAAUAUAGGCAUUUGUGACCCCUGAGAAGGUUUCAAUUUCUUAAAAAAAAGACGAUUGGGACCCUUGACAAGGUUUUACCCUAUGCAAAAAUAGGCACUUGAGAUCCCUGAGAAGGUUUUACAUACAUGAAAAAACAGUUGGAGCCCUUGAGAAAGGUUUACUUUCUUCAAAACAAAAACACACUUGGGGCCCCUGAGAAGGUUUCACUUUCUUCCAAAAAUGACGAUUGGGGCCCUUGAGAAGGUUUUACCCUCUUUACAAAUAGUCAUUUUAGACCACUGAGAAGGUUUCACAUACAUGAAAAAAACCGUUGGAGCCCCUGAGAAGGUUUAACUUUCGUCCAAAAAAAGACGAUUGGGGCCCUUGAGAAGGUUUUACCCUCUUCAAAUCUAGGCAUUUGAAACCACUGAGAAGGUUUCACAUGCUUAAACACUCUCGCUUCGCUUACGCUCGGAAAUUAAAAAAGAAGGUUGGAGCCCUUGAGAAUGGUUCACUUUCUUAAGAAAAACACAGUCGGAGCCUCUGACAAGGUUUACUUUCUUCAAAAAAAGUCCAUUGGGGCCCUUGAGAAGGUUUUACCCUCUUCAAAAAAAGACAUUUGAGAUCCCUGAGAAGGUUUCAUAUCCAUGAAAAAAACAGUAGGAGCCCUUGAGAAGAGUUCACUUUCUUCAAAACAAAAACACACUUGAGGCCCCAGAGAAGGUUUCACUUACUUAAAAAAAGACUGUUGUUGCCCCUGAGAAUGUUUCACUUUCGUCGAAAUAAGACGAUUGGGACCCUUGAGAAGGUUUUACCCUCUUUAGAUUUAGGUAUUUGAGACCCCUGAGAAGGUUUCAAUUUCUUCAAAUAAGACGAUUGGGACCCUUGACAAGGUUUAACCCUCUUUAAAAAUAGGCAUUUGAGAUCCCUGAGAAGGUUUCACAUACAUGAAAAAAACAGUUGGAGUCCUUGAGAAGGGUUUACUUUCUUCAAAACAAAAACGUACUUGGGGCCCCUGAGAAGGUUUCACUUGCUUAAAAAAAAAAGACAGUUGGGGCUAAGAGGAGGUCCCA